RNAcentral lists this ribosomal RNA (251 nucleotides) under uncultured bacterium. Its description in RNAcentral is "partial 16S ribosomal RNA". It matches the Rfam family "Bacterial small subunit ribosomal RNA", at positions 524 to 773 of the family's 1533-position model. The record is from RNAcentral.
UAUGUAGGGUGCGAGCGUUAAUCGGAAUUACUGGGCGUAAAGCGUGCGCAGGCGGUUUUGUAAGCCAGAUGUGAAAUCCCCGGGCUUAACCUGGGAAUGGCAUUUGGGACUGCAAGGCUUGAGUGCGGCAGAGGAGACUGGAAUUCCUGGUGUAGCAGUGAAAUGCGUAGAUAUCAGGAGGAACACCGAUGGCGAAGGCAGGUCUCUGGGACUGACACUGACGCUCAUGCACGAAAGCGUGGGGAGCAAAC